This 253-nucleotide ribosomal RNA is filed under the name uncultured bacterium. RNAcentral describes it as "partial 16S ribosomal RNA". It matches the Rfam family "Bacterial small subunit ribosomal RNA", at positions 524 to 776 of the family's 1533-position model. The record is from RNAcentral.
UACAGAGGGUGCGAGCGUUAAUCGGAAUUACUGGGCGUAAAGAGUGCGUAGGUGGUUUGAUAAGUUGGGUGUGAAAGCCCUGGGCUCAACCCAGGAACUGCAUCCAAUACUGUCAUGCUAGAGUACAGUAGAGGAAAGUGGAAUUUCCGGUGUAGCGGUGAAAUGCGUAGAUAUCGGAAGGAACAUCAGUGGCGAAGGCGACUUUCUGGACUGAUACUGACACUGAGGCACGAAAGCGUGGGUAGCAAACAGG